This 228-nucleotide long non-coding RNA is filed under the name Gallus gallus (chicken). Lineage: Eukaryota; Metazoa; Chordata; Aves; Galliformes; Phasianidae. The record is from RNAcentral.
CUCACCUUCUCAACAUCUGGGAGGCAAUCCAGAAGGGCUGCUGCAUGCUCAGAGUCACUGGGGUCAUUUUCACAACCGGUGGCUGCCAUCUUCAAGGGAUUUUUCACCAUGGCAUCCACCACUGCUUCGUAGAGCUGUUUGGUUAUCAGCGGAGAGGGCAGCUCUCGCAGGUAAUCCUUUAGGACACCUGUUAUCACAUUAAUAUCCGGGUACCGGCUUUCAGACAGA